UGUGGGGUGGUGGACGUUGGCAUACACGCUGAUCUUUGAAAUCAGACUACCGCAGGUUCGAUUCCUGCCCCCACAA
This 76-nucleotide transfer RNA is filed under the name Richelia sp. RM2_1_2. Its description in RNAcentral is "tRNA-Gln". It matches the Rfam family "tRNA". From Rfam's summary of the family: Transfer RNA (tRNA) molecules are approximately 80 nucleotides in length. Their secondary structure includes four short double-helical elements and three loops (D, anti-codon, and T loops). The record is from RNAcentral. Lineage: Bacteria; Bacillati; Cyanobacteriota; Cyanophyceae; Nostocales; Nostocaceae.